UGACGGUAUCUAACCAGCAAGUCACGGCUAACUACGUGCCAGCAGCCGCGGUAAUACGUAGGUGGCAAGCGUUAUCCGGAUUUAUUGGGCGUAAAGGGAACGCAGGCGGUUUUUUAAGUCUGAUGUGAAAGCCUUCGGCUUAACCGGAGAAUAGCAUUGGAAACUGGAAGACUUGAGUGCAGAAGAGGAGAGUGGAACUCCAUGUGUAGCGGUGAAAUGCGUAGAUAUAUGGAAGAACACCAGUGGCGAAAGCGGCUCUCUGGUCCGUAACUGACGCUGAGGUUCGAAAGCGUGGGUAGCAAACAGGAUUAGAUACCCUG
This 320-nucleotide ribosomal RNA is filed under the name uncultured bacterium. RNAcentral's name for it is "bacterial SSU rRNA". It matches the Rfam family "Bacterial small subunit ribosomal RNA", at positions 470 to 789 of the family's 1533-position model. The record is from RNAcentral.